CUUUUUCCAUGUGUAGGAACUUGCAAGGAUGGCAGGAGGCUACAGAGAGCAGACUUGAAACCCUGUGAAAAGAAGAAAUAAGCAAAGCAAGAGGAUAAGCCCUGGGAGAACAGCGUGCUUCCCAGUGUCUGCCUCGUCCUGCACAGUAAGAGCCAGGUCAACUUCAGGAAAUAAGCAAGGCCUCUAAAAGGAAGCACGACCAGAAAAUACAGCACAACUAGGAGCAUAUGGAAGGGAUCCAAGAAGUGGAGACCAUCAUUCGGUAAUAGAAUCUGCUUUGGAGAUGAGAGAGCCUAGAAGGAUGCCCAAUGCCCAGAUGGCAACAGCGCCCUCACAUGCUAUGUACAAUUC
This 351-nucleotide long non-coding RNA is filed under the name Homo sapiens (human). RNAcentral describes it as "non-protein coding lnc-NDUFV2-1:1". Lineage: Eukaryota; Metazoa; Chordata; Mammalia; Primates; Hominidae. The record is from RNAcentral.